This 253-nucleotide ribosomal RNA is filed under the name uncultured bacterium. RNAcentral describes it as "partial 16S ribosomal RNA". It matches the Rfam family "Bacterial small subunit ribosomal RNA", at positions 524 to 776 of the family's 1533-position model. The record is from RNAcentral.
UACGGGGGGGGCAAGCGUUGUUCGGAAUUACUGGGCGUAAAGGGCUCGUAGGCGGCCAACUAAGUCAGACGUGAAAUCCCCAGGCUUAACCUGGGAUCUGCGUCUGAUACUGGAAGGCUCGAGUUCGGGAGAGGAAUGUGGAAUUCCAGGUGUAGCGGUGAAAUGCGUAGAUAUCUGGAGGAACACCGGUGGCGAAGGCGGCAUUCUGGACCGAAACUGACGCUGAGGCGCGAAAGCCAGGGGAGCAAACGGG